RNA transcript from Rhagoletis zephyria (snowberry fruit fly), 4489 nucleotides. It is a transcript of the gene named zinc finger domain-containing protein tiptop, with no coding region annotated. Lineage: Eukaryota; Metazoa; Arthropoda; Insecta; Diptera; Tephritidae. The record is from RefSeq and is a predicted model, not a curated record.
AAAUAAAAAAAAGAGUGUCGUGUCGCGUUGAAUUCAAAGAAAAGCGAAGAAACACUCCUCCGCAUAUACAUACAUAUGUUGCAGCUGAGGUGAACACCUCGAAAAUCAAUUGAACUGCAAGCAGAUAUAGGCCACACCGAAAAUUCGCGUGCAUUGAAAAUGUUUUGCGUGUGUGUUUGUGUCUUUUGUAGAGUUUGAAGACUGUGGAAUAUUAUAUUGCCAAGUGUUUGCUGGUAGUAUUUCGAUUAGAUUUUUUUUUUUGCCUUAAAAAUCAAAUAGGCAGCUAAGAAAUGAUGUUGCACGAGGCGGUUAUGCUGGAAAUUUACAGGCAGGCGCUCACGGCAAGUGAGUUGACCAGCCCGCGCUGUCAAUCCCGAGAAUCGAAUGUUUCUGCAGCAGCAAUGGAGGGCAGAUGCCCCUCGAAUGGCUCACACUGCUCUGGCAAUGAGCGAACUACGACGCCAGCAGCCACCUCGCUUUCCAGCACACCACCUGCAGGACUACCGCUGUCGGCCACGCUAGCACCGGCUGCUGCAGCUGCCUUGUUGCCACCACAGUCUGCUGCUAUGGCUGCAUACUUCAAUGCAGCUGCAGCAGCAGCAGCACAACAAAAUCACUUGCUGCUGACCAAUCCACUAGCGGCCGCGGCCUCCUUGGUACAACAAGCAACACGAACGCAUACGCCAACUACAAAUCGCACGCCACCCUCACCACAAACAGACGCCACAAAUGAUGAACCAGUGCUGGACUUUAGCACGAAACGCCGACGGGAUUCUGAGCAUGAAAGUGACGACGAUGAGGCCGAUGAUAAGAUGGAGGACGAUGACAACUGCGGAUCGGGCAGUGGCACAGAUGCAGCAGUCGAUGUGAAUAGUCCGCUUGAUUUGUCGGUCGGACGUAAACGUGAAGCUACCGAUGAGGAGGCACAACACAUGCCAAUACGGAAAACAUUACGCACCACGCACGACUAUAAAGCGCUGCCACCUGUUGCCAGUAAUUGGGUGCCAACUAUUAAUCCAUAUCUAGCCGCAGUGGCGGCGGCUAGUUUAUCACCCAAAUCGCCACUCUCGCCACUGGAGUGGAGCGGAAAGCACAAACUUUUGCCAAAUGAAGCUACCAAAGCACUAGAGAAAAUGACUGAAAUGACAAGACUCGGCUCGGCGACAGAUAGUGCCGAGCUACCACCGCAUCGACAAAUAAGCGCGACAGCCAACAAUGCGGGAAACUCCGGCGGCGGCGGCGGCGGUGGUGGUGGUGGUGGACGGCACAGUGCAUGGCAGUCGCAUUGGCUGAAUAAGGGGGCGGACGCUGUGAGAGAUGUCUUCAAAUGUGUUUGGUGUAAGCAAAGUUUUCCCACACUGGCCUCAUUAACAGCACACAUGAAGGAGACGCAACACUGUGGUGUUAGCAUGCCUCCAACGGGCGCUAGUUGUGCACCAAGUAAUAGCAGCGGUGGCGGCGGCGGCGGCAGCGGCUGCAAUCAGACAACUCAAUCGACACAUCACUUACGUCACUCCGCUAAUACCAACACAUCGCUCGCCGCCACAUCCGCCACAACGGCUGCAGCGACCACUUCGUCCACGUCCAAUAAAUCUGAUCUCAAUUUGUUAAUCAAAGAAACGAUGCCAUUGCCACGCAAGCUAGUGCGUGGCCAAGAUGUCUGGCUCGGCAAAGGUGCAGAGCAAACGCGCGAAAUACUGAAGUGCAUGUGGUGCGGCCAGAGUUUUCGCUCGCUAGCCGAAAUGACAUCGCACAUGCAGGAGACACAACACUACACGAACAUAAUAUCCCAGGAGCAGAUCAUUUCAUGGAAGUCGACGGACGAUAAAAACUCGAACAGCGGCAGCGGCUCCAACUCGAAUGGCGCAUCAUCAACAUCACCUGUCGUGAUAUCGCCACCGUCUGCCGGCAUGGUUCAUCCAGCGGCGGGCGCUGUUAUUUCUAGCCCCAACAACACAACGUCGGCUACUGUAAGCGCUGUGCUAACAUGCAAGGUGUGCGAUCAGGCCUUUCCAUCGCUCAAGGAACUAAGCAAUCACAUGAUGAAGAAUGCACACUACAAGGAGCACAUGAUGCGUGCAAUCGGCGGCAGCGGCGCUGGCGGUGGUGGUUGUGGUGGAGAGCAUACGACGAGCGCGUCAGCAACGCCGUCCGCACGGCGUGGACGACAAAUGCGUGAAAAACGUAAAAAGUCGUUACCAGUGCGUAAGCUACUGGAGUUGGAACGCGCGCAACAAGACUACAAAAAUAAUAGUUUGGAUCCGGCUUUGAAGCCGUUACGUGACUUUGCCGCCACAACUAAGAUCACAUGCGAAAAAUGUGGCGAGAAAAUCGAGACAGCGCUAUUCGUUGAUCACAUCAGGCAGUGUCUGGGCGGAAUGUUGAUGGUGCCCGCGCGCAAUCGCAACAACGACGUCUUGAAGCCGACAUUCAAUCCGAUGAGCUGCUUGGAACAGCUCACCAGUCCACAGACCCCGACUAGUCAUAGUGAUGGCCGCAAAACAGCCGACAGCAAUGUGUCACACGCAUCAACACGCCCGGAAAUAAUUUGCCCGCUACCCAAGGAAGGCGAAAAGGCGAGUAAUUCUACACCAUCAGUACUCAAUGCCAUCGAACAGCUGAUCGAGAAGAGUUUCGAUACACGCAUGCGCAACAGCAGCUCCUACUCAUCGAACGGUAAUGGCAGUCAACGCAGCACACCACUAGGCUCGAGUAUAUUGAAGCGUCUAGGCAUUGAUGAUUGCGUGGACUAUACCAAACCGCUCAUAGAUCCACAAACCAUGCACUUUAUGCGCUCAUACUCGAGCUUCUCGGCGCGUGACCGCAGCGCUAGCGAGUCCAGUUCGAUUUCCGAACGCUGCAAUAGUCGCAUUGAAUCGUUUACACCCGAACGUAGUGUGCAGGAACGCGUACGACAGUCCACACCACGUCUAACGCCAGAAAAGUUCAACACAACAGAAACAAUAACAAACGCUGACGUGCACGCUGAGCUCAUCAAUAUGAAUAUAAAAACAGAGCCUUCGGAAACGUCUAACGAACCGCAAGAGCUAACCAUUAAUGGCAGUAAAGAUGCCGCCGAUGCUGUGUCACCACAGAAAAUCUCCGUGAAAAAGGAAUUCAAUAUGAUUGAUAGCCAAGAAGAUGAACGACAGCAAUCAAGCGAUUCGCUUCACUAUAAGCCACAAGCGGAGACGCCCGGCUCGCGUGCUACCAGCCCCAGCGCAAGCGACGAACGCUCAAUUACGCCCAAAUCCACAUCAUCCUUGGCUGAGAAGCGAUUUGCGCCAGCUGGUAGUAGCCUCACAGCACUCUCUUCAAUGUUCGACAAUCUAAACAAUAUGAGCUCGAAUGCAGUUAGUGCACAGUCGCACGCUGCAGACACUUUGAUUGGUGUUGGCGAAACCAACAAUAAUAACAACAACAACACAAAUAAGAAGCCGAAUGCCAAUCCAUUGGCUGCACUUCAGAAACUCUGCGAAACUACAGAGAAGCCGGCAACAAAGUCACGCAGCAAUGCCGUCAAUGGCAUCAAUCAUAACACCCAGCUAACUGGCAACAUGAUGGCCUUCAGCUGGGCUUGCAAUGAUGCGGUGCAGAAUUCGAAUGCCGAAUCUAUGAUCAAGUGUUCGCAAUGUGAUGCAGUCUUCAGCUCAAAGGGUGCUUAUCGUCAUCACUUCUCGAAGAUGCAUUACAUGAAGGACGACGUAGGCGAAGUGAAUGCCAUUAAAUCACCAACGCUGGCGUGCUCACCGAAAUCGGCAGCCACAUCGCCGAAGAGCGCCUCAAAGAGUCCAUUGGGUGCGGGCGGCAACAUGGCUGCGCCAAUCAUUAAUCCAUACAGCGAAAGCUCACAAUCAAAGUUCCUCAAAUACACCGAGUUAGCCAAGCAAUUGUCAUCGAAGAAUGCAUAAGCGAUGUGUUGUAUAUAGUUUCCUAAUUAAGUGCUAAGCCCUAAACUAUUGGUACUGAACAAAUCUUUCCUUCCAACUAUAAAUUCACAGAAGCAGCGACUUAUAAGCGGGAAAUACUACAUUAUCGUUUAAAAAUACAUAUGCGUACAUAAAUACAAAUACAAAGUGAGAAAAAAUGUAUAGUUUCGAACAUUCAAAAAAGUAUGUAUAUAAUCUGCAAUCAAAAAGCAGGAAAGAAAUUACUUGUAUCAUAGCAAUCCCUUUAUCAGGCCUAAUAUGCAUGGAGUAUAGCCAUUACUUAAACAAAAUACUCGAUUUUACUAUUCAUAGUAAGAAAGCAAAAAAAAAAAAGCAAAAACAACAACACUAAAUCUUCCUUUUAGUAGACACCAAAUCAGUGUAAAAUAAAAGAAAAAAUUUAAGUAAAUAAACAAGAACAAAUAAUGCAACAUAUGUAUACGCAAAAUGAUACCUAAUAUACACAAGUACAUACCUACAACUAAAUAAUACAUGCAUAUUUUCCAUAUACAAACAUAAAUUGUAUUAAAAAGUUAUACUAGCAUAUUAAAAAAGAAAUA